This 497-nucleotide ribosomal RNA is filed under the name uncultured archaeon. RNAcentral's name for it is "bacterial SSU rRNA". It matches the Rfam family "Archaeal small subunit ribosomal RNA", at positions 93 to 593 of the family's 1478-position model. The record is from RNAcentral.
GUAACACGUAGUCAACAUGCCCAGGGGACGUGGAUAACCUCGGGAAACUGAGGAUAAACCGCGAUAGGUCACUACUUCUGGAAUGGGUAAUGACUCAAACCUAUAUGGCCCCUGGAUUGGACUGCGGCCGAUCAGGCUGUUGGUGAGGUAAUGGCCCACCAAACCUGUAACCGGUACGGGCUCUGAGAGGAGGAGCCCGGAGAUGGGCACUGAGACAAGGGCCCAGGCCCUAUGGGGCGCAGCAGGCGCGAAACCUCUGCAAUAGGCGAAAGCCUGACAGGGUUACUCUGAGUGAUCUCCGUUAAGGAGAUCUUUUGGCACCUCUAAAAAUGGUGCAGAAUAAGGGGUGGGCAAGUCUGGUGUCAGCCGCUGCGGUAAUACCAGCACCCCGAGUGGUCGGGACGUUUAUUGGGCCUAAAGCAUCCGUAGCCGGUUCUACAAGUCUUCCGUUAAAUCCAGCUGCUUAACAGAUGGGCUGCGGAAGAUACUAUGGAGCU